CGGAAGUGGCGAAAUUGGUAGACGCACCAGAUUUAGGUUCUGGCGCCGCGAGGCGUAAGAGUUCAAGUCUCUUCUUCCG
This 79-nucleotide transfer RNA is filed under the name Vibrio cholerae. Its description in RNAcentral is "tRNA-Leu". It matches the Rfam family "tRNA". Rfam says of the family: Transfer RNA (tRNA) molecules are approximately 80 nucleotides in length. Their secondary structure includes four short double-helical elements and three loops (D, anti-codon, and T loops). Further hydrogen bonds mediate the characteristic L-shaped molecular structure. tRNAs have two regions of fundamental functional importance: the anti-codon, which is responsible for specific mRNA codon recognition, and the 3' end, to which the tRNAs corresponding amino acid is attached (by aminoacyl-tRNA synthetases). tRNAs cope with the degeneracy of the genetic code in two manners: having more than one tRNA (with a specific anti-codon) for a particular amino acid; and 'wobble' base-pairing, i.e. permitting non-standard base-pairing at the 3rd anti-codon position. The record is from RNAcentral. Lineage: Bacteria; Pseudomonadati; Pseudomonadota; Gammaproteobacteria; Vibrionales; Vibrionaceae.